ACUCCUGCGGGAGGCAGCAGUGGGGAAUAUUGCACAAUGGGCGCAAGCCUGAUGCAGCCAUGCCGCGUGUAUGAAGAAGGCCUUCGGGUUGUAAAGUACUUUCAGCGGGGAGGAAGGCGAUAAGGUUAAUAACCUUGUCGAUUGACGUUACCCGCAGAAGAAGCACCGGCUAACUCCGUGCCAGCAGCCGCGGUAAUACGGAGGGUGCAAGCGUUAAUCGGAAUUACUGGGCGUAAAGCGCACGCAGGCGGUCUGUCAAGUCGGAUGUGAAAUCCCCGGGCUCAACCUGGGAACUGCAUUCGAAACUGGCAGGCUAGAGUCUUGUAGAGGGGGGUAGAAUUCCAGGUGUAGCGGUGAAAUGCGUAGAGAUCUGGAGGAAUACCGGUGGCGAAGGCGGCCCCCUGGACAAAGACUGACGCUCAGGUGCGAAAGCGUGGGGAGCAAACAGGAUUAGAUACCCCGGUAGUCCCAUGA
This 474-nucleotide ribosomal RNA is filed under the name uncultured organism. RNAcentral describes it as "partial 16S ribosomal RNA". It matches the Rfam family "Bacterial small subunit ribosomal RNA", at positions 335 to 800 of the family's 1533-position model. The record is from RNAcentral.